This is a long non-coding RNA of Felis catus (domestic cat), 2780 nucleotides long. RefSeq lists it as uncharacterized. The transcript is spliced from 5 exons. The record is from RefSeq and is a predicted model, not a curated record. NCBI's taxonomy places the organism in Eukaryota, Metazoa, Chordata, Mammalia, Carnivora, Felidae.
AAAUUUAAAAAAAAAAGAAAUAAGCCUGUAUAAGAAUGAGCAGAUUUAAGGGUUAUAAUUGGUUCUCAUAAGCUCAAUUCAGGAGACCUGGGGGAAGUGAUCUUCAUCUUCCAACAUGUACUAAGGCACAGCCUGAGAGAGAGAGAGAGAGAGAGAGAGAGAGAGAGAGAGAGAGAGAGACAGGGAGGGUUAGUUGAGUUGAUCAGUGGAAACAGGGCCAACUAGAGUAGAUACUGAUGAAUCAAGGAAAUGUGUGAGAGAAAAGACAAAGCAUAGAAAACGCCAGAGGUUAGCUAAAUUGAAUUUGGGGACAAUGAGAUCAGGGCUCUCCUGUUGACCGAAAGCCUUACCUCCUGGGUUCAUUGGAGCAGGAUUUGCAAAAACAAACUGCAGAAAAGCCUUUUCUUUGGCCAGAAUUCUUAGUAGGCAGUCAUGUGGGGGUAAUGCCUCCCUUGUCUGCUCCCACUCCCUCCUCGCGUUCAGCCCCUCUGACUUCUGCCUGAACGGAGAGCUCGGUGAAGUCAGUGGGGUCGGGGAGAGGGAGCCUCACUCGUAGUGGCUCCUCUGUUCUGACAAAGGCCCUGGUGUCUUACCUUUCCCUGCAUGGAAGGAGGCAGGAAGGGAGCGGGGAGUGAUUGAUGCCAGGCACUGUGCUAGGUGAUUUCUCCUUCAACAGCUAACUUAACUCUUAAAAUGCCCCCAUGAGAUGGGAAUUAUCAACCCCACUUUCACAGAAUAAGGAGCCGAGGAGAAUAAUCUACACGAUAUUAAGCCUCAGGAAGGUUGAGGACGUUGCAGUAACUUCAUAGCUACUCUGCGGUGCACUGGAGAUUUGUUUCCACAUCGGCCCCACUGUGGGAGCUGACUCCUCAGUGGUUUUGAACCCUAUUGCACAAGGUCCAAUGUCCUGAAUUAUGACAGUCAGGUACUCGGUGAUAAACGACAUCCAGGUCUCGCAGGACGAAGGAGAGGGAAGGAGAGACCUUGAUUCUGUCUGCCUCAGCUCACUAGCACAUUCUGGUGUGGAGCCUUCCAUUUUCAGCUGGCUGGCAUGUGUCAACUCUGGGGACCACCUUGGGAGCCACAAGAUGAUAGGAGCCCAGGCACUUGAAUCACACCGAGGAGGAGAGCUGUCCAGCCAGAAGUAUCAGCCUUGGACCGUUACAGAUCAAGAUAGAACCUUUGAGUAUGUAAAGCUGCUAUGAUGUGGGGAUCUUCCUGUGAGAGCAGCCAGCACUCUCUUAGCCAAUUUUCCAGAGCCUUGGUUCUGCUCACCUUCCCAGAGAGCGUGAUGUGAACCCCAAAGCACCAGACCCAGGAGAAUGAAAAGGAGGCUUCCAGAGAGGCAGGCCUACCUACUUCUGAGCCUUCAGGACUUUUCUUUCCUGCAAUUUGUGUUCCACCUCCAGGAAGUGUGGAGGGACCUUGGAAACCAUUUUCUUUAUAUGACUUAGAGAGCAGAAUUCAGUUGUGGCACCAAGAACAUCCCUCACUGAAGGGUAAACUCAUAAAGUGAAACAUUUGUUUUGAGACUGAUUGUGGGAAGAGACCAAAGUAAUUAGCCAAAAAGAGUGAACUAUAGGAUUUUUAUGUAGUUUUGUUGCUGUAAAUAAGAAGAAGGCAAAACAACCAUUGCCUGCCAGAAAUCCUCAAAAGCUUGAUUUUGUGAAUACAGAAGAGAAAAGAAUGCACCAUGAGAUGGACCAGAGCUAUCAGUCCCAUAAAGGCAGGAAUCAACACUAACUCAGACCUGUAACCAACAGCCUGUGAUCAAGCUGGAAUCCAUUCUUAAGAGACUUGAUCUUCAAUCACUGGGCGUCUCAGAACUGGCUCCAGCUUGGAACUUGGGCAACUGAUCAUGAGUUUCAACUGGGACCUCAGGUGACUGGAAACUCUGUGACAGCCUGUGGGUUCACCCUGGACACCUGGCACUCAGAAGAUAGUGGAUUUUUAUUGAAGGAGUCAAUGAGUUCCGUUUAUGAAAUUGUAAUUUUGUUCCCUGUUACUGGCCAUUAAGCAAUUGGUUUGCUUUUGAAUUACUAUUACCAAAGUAUCAAAUGUAUAUCUACAUCUACAUCUAUAUCUAUAUACUCCUGUUUAUAGCAGCAUUAUUUGCAAUAGCCAAAAGGUGGAAGUGACCCACCAGUGUCGACCCACCAGUGAACACCACUGACAGAUGAAUGGAUAAAAUUACGGUUAUACAAACAAUGGAAUGUCAUCAACCUGAAAGGGAAAGACCAUGUGACAUGUCCUUGGAUAACCUUGAGCACAUUUGGAUGGGCCAAAUAGGACAAAUAUCGUCCUAUUCCACCUGAUACGAGGCACUUAUAUUUAUAGAGACAGCGAGGGGGAGUGAAGAAUGGGGAUUCGGUGUUUCAGUUUCAGUUUGGGAAGACGAGAAAGUUCUGGAGACGGAUGAUGGUGAUGGUUGCACCGUAACGUGAAUGUGUUUAAUGCCACUGAACAUCACACUUAAAAAUGGUUGAGAUGGUUAAAUUUUGCGUUAUGUGUAUUUUACCAUAGUUUUAAAAACUAAAAUUAAAAAAUACAUCAAAAAGUGUUAAGUGUUUAUUACUCGUGGAUGCUUUGGGUAUUGUGGAAAAACAGUGUAUUCUGUGUAAAUGUUAAUGUGUAAGUACUGAGAAUGUUGGUCACACACUGAAUGAAAGUUUCGUAUUCUGGCUGAUUUGGGUGGAGGUUUCCUCUCUUCCCUUGUCCGAUCGGGGAGGCUCUCCGUAGAGCCCCAUGUGUGACGCACUACAUACUGACCACAGACCACA